AGCAGUCGCCGCGGGAAUACAGAGGGUGCGAGCGUUAAUCGGAUUUACUGGGCGUAAAGCGUGCGUAGGCGGCUUUUUAAGUCGGAUGUGAAAUCCCUGGGCUUAACUUAGGAAUUGCAUUCGAUACUGGGAAGCUAGAGUAUGGGAGAGGAUGGUAGAAUUCCAGGUGUAGCGGUGAAAUGCGUAGAGAUCUGGAGGAAUACCGAUGGCGAAGGCAGCCAUCUGGCCUAAUACUGACGCUGAGGUACGAAAGCAUGGGGAGCAAACAGGAUUAGAUACCCGCGUAGUCCCUGUCUCUUAUAC
This 303-nucleotide ribosomal RNA is filed under the name uncultured bacterium. RNAcentral's name for it is "partial 16S ribosomal RNA". It matches the Rfam family "Bacterial small subunit ribosomal RNA", at positions 507 to 807 of the family's 1533-position model. The record is from RNAcentral.